Molecule: ribosomal RNA, 301 nt
Filed under: uncultured bacterium
Lineage: Bacteria
Description: partial 16S ribosomal RNA
Rfam family: Bacterial small subunit ribosomal RNA
Source: RNAcentral
CAGCAGCCACGGGAAUAUGUAGGUGGCAAGCGUUGUCCGGAAUUAUUGGGCGUAAAGGGCUCGCAGGCGGUUUCUUAAGUCUGAUGUGAAAGCCCCCGGCUCAACCGGGGAGGGUCAUUGGAAACUGGGAAACUUGAGUGCAGAAGAGGAGAGUGGAAUUCCACGUGUAGCGGUGAAAUGCGUAGAGAUGUGGAGGAACACCAGUGGCGAAGGCGACUCUCUGGUCUGUAACUGACGCUGAGGAGCGAAAGCGUGGGGAGCGAACAGGAUUAGAGACCCCUGUAGUCCCUGUCUCUUAUAC